UACAGAGGGUGCGAGCGUUAAUCGGAUUUACUGGGCGUAAAGGGCGCGUAGGCGGUGAGAUGAGUGUGAUGUGAAAGCCCCGGGCUUAACCUGGGAAGGGCAUCGCAAACGAUCUGACUGGAGUAGGUGAGAGGGUGGCGGAAUUUCCGGUGUAGCGGUGAAAUGCGUAGAGAUCGGAAGGAACGUCGAUGGCGAAGGCAGCCACCUGGCACCAUACUGACGCUGAAGCGCGAAAGCGUGGGGAUCGAACAGG
This 253-nucleotide ribosomal RNA is filed under the name uncultured bacterium. Its description in RNAcentral is "partial 16S ribosomal RNA". It matches the Rfam family "Bacterial small subunit ribosomal RNA", at positions 524 to 776 of the family's 1533-position model. The record is from RNAcentral.